UAGGGAAUCUUCGGCAAUGGGGGCAACCCUGACCGAGCAACGCCGCGUGAGUGAAGAAGGUUUUCGGAUCGUAAAGCUCUGUUGUAAGUCAAGAACGGGUGUGAGAGUGGAAAGUUCACACUGUGACGGUAGCUUACCAGAAAGGGACGGCUAACUACGUGCCAGCAGCCGCGGUAAUACGUAGGUCCCGAGCGUUGUCCGGAUUUAUUGGGCGUAAAGCGAGCGCAGGCGGUUUGAUAAGUCUGAAGUUAAAGGCUGUGGCUCAACCAUAGUUCGCUUUGGAAACUGUCAAACUUGAGUGCAGAAGGGGAGAGUGGAAUUCCAUGUGUAGCGGUGAAAUGCGUAGAUAUAUGGAGGAACACCGGUGGCGAAAGCGGCUCUCUGGUCUGUAACUGACGCUGAGGCUCGAAAGCGUGGGGAGCGAACAGGAUUAGAUACCCUGGUAGUCCACGCCGUAAACGAUGAGUGCUAGGUGUUGGAUCCUUUCCGGGAUUCAGUGCC
Molecule: ribosomal RNA, 501 nt
Filed under: uncultured bacterium
Lineage: Bacteria
Description: partial 16S ribosomal RNA
Rfam family: Bacterial small subunit ribosomal RNA
Source: RNAcentral